RNAcentral lists this long non-coding RNA (222 nucleotides) under Homo sapiens (human). RNAcentral's name for it is "LNC_000909". The record is from RNAcentral. Lineage: Eukaryota; Metazoa; Chordata; Mammalia; Primates; Hominidae.
CGUCCUUCAUCAAACUGGGUCUUAUAUUGAGGGAGGCCAAUGUCAUCCAACCAUCUAGUGACCCAGUUGAAAUCCAGCUUCCCAUGAUUGGUUUCUUCUUCAGAUCCCAGGGCUUGGAGUGCUAGCUGGAGUUUCUUUCGAUGAAGUGAAUGCUUGAUUCCAAGUUCCUUCUCUAGAUCUUGUUGAGAAGCCUGCAAAAGCGUUUGGCCAGAUGCAAUCCAG